Cinara cedri is the source of this 296-nucleotide non-coding RNA. NCBI's taxonomy places the organism in Eukaryota, Metazoa, Arthropoda, Insecta, Hemiptera, Aphididae. The record is from the annotation of a GenBank genome assembly.
AUACUAUUGUAAAUGAAUAUAUUACACCGCGAGACUGCAAACACCCACUUAGAUUCUCGGUCGAUACGGAUCUCGCGUGUCCCGUAGUCGACUGUGUACACUGUACACCAUAUUAUUGUAUCCGCCCCCGUUGUUAUCACCGUCGACAAUAUUAUCGUAAUCGUUUAUUAUGCUUUCCCGAGGAAACAGAAGGGCUCGAGUGAUUUCCGCAUACAGUUUCCCGGGUUGUACGACCGAAUUCGACUUUGAAUUAAAUGCAACUUAAAUGCAGACGUACUGAAUGGCCUAUAGACAGU